Molecule: ribosomal RNA, 452 nt
Filed under: uncultured bacterium
Lineage: Bacteria
Description: bacterial SSU rRNA
Rfam family: Bacterial small subunit ribosomal RNA
Source: RNAcentral
UACGGGAGGCAGCAGUGGGGAAUAUUGCACAAUGGGCGCAAGCCUGAUGCAGCCAUGCCGCGUGUAUGAAGAAGGCCUUCGGGUUGUAAAGUACUUUCAGUCGUGAGGAAGGUGUUAAGGUUAAUAACCUUAGCAAUUGACGUUAGCGACAGAAGAAGCACCGGCUAACUCCGUGCCAGCAGCCGCGGUAAUACGGAGGGUGCGAGCGUUAAUCGGAAUUACUGGGCGUAAAGGGCACGCAGGCGGUUAAUUAAGUUGGAUGUGAAUCCCGGGCUUAACCUGGGAAUGGCAUUCAAGACUGGUUAGCUAGAGUCUUGUAGAGGGGGUAGGAAUUCCAUGUGUAGCGGUGAAAUGCGUAGAGAUGUGGAGGAAUACCGGUGGCGAAGGCGGCCCCUGGGACAAAGACUGACGCUCAUGUGCGAAAGCGUGGGGAGCAAACAGGAUUAGAUACC